Small nuclear RNA from Leptonychotes weddellii (Weddell seal), 104 nucleotides. The record is from RefSeq and is a predicted model, not a curated record. Lineage: Eukaryota; Metazoa; Chordata; Mammalia; Carnivora; Phocidae.
GUGCUCACUUUGGCAGCACAUACACUAGAAUUGGAACGAUACAGAGAUUAGCAUGGCCCCUGCACAAGGAUGACACGUAAAAUACACAAGGACAAAGUGCUUUC